AUACUCAUUAUCAUAAAGUGUUCACAUUAAUAAGAGUUGACACAAUGCUCACUCAACUUGUACAGAUGUUUAAGUUCUCUUUAAAUCUAGUGCCACCUCUCAAAGAAGGAACGUACACGGAACUCAUAAUAUUGAUAUUUGAGCAUUAACGAAGCAUUCCAUGGAUUCACCAGGUGCCGGGUCCAUCGCGUUACAGAGAGAGGAGCUUCAACAGUGCCUGGGACUUGCGACCCAGGCGUAGGUUUAAGGAGCCCCUAUUUAACGCGCGUUAAACGCUCACCUCCGCCGUCCACGCUCCUCUUUCUACCUAACCAAAAUUGAAACGAAUCUAAUAGGGCCGUCUUCAAAAAAAAAUGAACACAUUAGAAGAAGCAAGAAAAGAAACUUCCUGGGAAACCAGCCAGUGGUGCACAAAUGUGAAGUGUAAUGUUUAAUGUUUUUAUUUGAUGAGAUGUUUUGUUAAAAUAAAUAAAUAUAUAUAU
This is a long non-coding RNA of Danaus plexippus (monarch butterfly), 482 nucleotides long. RefSeq lists it as uncharacterized. The record is from RefSeq and is a predicted model, not a curated record. NCBI's taxonomy places the organism in Eukaryota, Metazoa, Arthropoda, Insecta, Lepidoptera, Nymphalidae. The transcript has 3 exons.